CUUCGGUAAAGGUUCGUUCUUUCCUUAAAAAUUGAGUCUUGGACUUGAACCCUCUUGCUUCUAGUGAGAAUUCUUGUGGGUUUUACUCAGAAUUUGAUUGUUUGUGAUUAUGGAUCCAACUUACACUAGACUCCCUGAUUUCAUGAACGACAUUGAUUUCAAUCCCAUGUUACCCAAUUCAUCUCAAUUCCCAGAAAUCACAAAUCAAUACUGAUUUAACCAGCUCUCUCCAUAUCUCAACUUUUUCAGCAAUCAGUUUUCAAUUCCACCUGAGCCGGAUUCCGGUAAUCUUGUUCCUCCAAUUAGUACUGUUAGCACAGAGGGAGGUUCAGUUUAGUAGAUUCUCCGUCCUCUGAUGAUAUUGACUUCUCUGAAACUGGACACCAACCUGGACGCCUUCGUCAACGACUUGCUCAACAUUCUCGACGCUGUGGGAGUCAAAAAGUGCGAAUCGAGAGUUAAAGAUGACAUCUUUCCGAAACUUGAAGCUCGCUGGAGGAGGAGGAGGCCAGACUCUUCCUGACCCAGCCCAAUUCGUUUCCGAUGAGUUUUCAUUUUCUGGGGAUGGUGGCGUGAUUAAGCUGCAGCUCGAAUUGAUGAAGAAGAAUUUUUGCUUGGUCAUCAGUUUCCCCAAUUUGGGAGGCGAUGAAGAAAGGAGAAAUGGAUGAAGAAAGUAAGCAAAGAGAAAAAA
Long non-coding RNA from Rosa chinensis, 691 nucleotides. RefSeq lists it as uncharacterized. The transcript is spliced from 2 exons. Lineage: Eukaryota; Viridiplantae; Streptophyta; Magnoliopsida; Rosales; Rosaceae. The record is from RefSeq and is a predicted model, not a curated record.